CUUUCCCUCUGGCGGUAGGCCUAACACAUGCAAGUCGAACGGCAGCACAGUAAGAGCUUGCUCUUACGGGUGGCGAGUGGCGGACGGGUGAGGAAUACAUCGGAAUCUACUUUUUCGUGGGGGAUAACGUAGGGAAACUUACGCUAAUACCGCAUACGACCUACGGGUGAAAGCAGGGGAUCUUCGCACCUUGCGCGAUUGAAUGAGCCGGUGUCGGAUUAGUUAGUUGGCGGGUUAAAGGCCCACCAAGGCGACGAUCCGUAGCUGGUCUGAGAGGAUGGACCGCGCCACUGGAACUGAGAGACGAUACAGACUCCGAGGGGCGGCAGAAGCGGGGAAUAUUGGCAACUGGGGGGAAGCCUGAUCCAGCCAUGCCGCGUGGGUGAAGAAGGGCUGCGUGUUGGAAAGCGCUUUUGUGGUGAAAGAAAAUCAGCAGGUUAAUACCACGCUGUUCUGCCGGUACCGGAAGAAUAAGCACCGGUUACCUGGGU
Molecule: ribosomal RNA, 491 nt
Filed under: uncultured bacterium
Lineage: Bacteria
Description: partial 16S ribosomal RNA
Rfam family: Bacterial small subunit ribosomal RNA
Source: RNAcentral